AUAGUUGCGGGUAACGGCCACCAAGUCGACGAUCGGUAGCCGGACUGAGAGGUUGAACGGCCACAUUGGGACUGAGACACGGCCCAGACUCCUACGGGAGGCAGCAGUGAGGGAUAUUGGUCAAUGGGGGAAACCCUGAACCAGCAACGCCGCGUGAGGGAUGACGGUCUUCGGAUUGUAAACCUCUGUCCUCUGUGAAGAUAAUGACGGUAGCAGAGGAGGAAGCUCCGGCUAACUAC
Molecule: ribosomal RNA, 239 nt
Filed under: uncultured bacterium
Lineage: Bacteria
Description: partial 16S ribosomal RNA
Rfam family: Bacterial small subunit ribosomal RNA
Source: RNAcentral